Molecule: long non-coding RNA, 467 nt
Filed under: Mytilus galloprovincialis (Mediterranean mussel)
Lineage: Eukaryota; Metazoa; Mollusca; Bivalvia; Mytilida; Mytilidae
Source: RNAcentral
UCCUGGUUUGCUUACUUUUCAUUUUAGUUGUCAUAUCAACAUAUUGUGUGUAUAGCUUUGUGUUUCUUUAUUCUAUAUUGACCAAAAAUAUAGGGUAUGAUUUGUGAUCUCACAAAACAUGUUUAACACUGCGGCAUUUGUGCGCCUGUUCUGGCCUUUAUUAGUCUUGUAUGUAUUUUUAUUUUAGUUCAUUUAUAUGUUUUGGAGUUAAGUAUGACAUCCAUUUUUACUGAAGUAGUGCACAUUUUUUAUUAGGGUUCCAGCUAAGGCCUACCUAAGGGAUUAUCUCGUUGUCGUUGGUGGCCUUUGGCUGCUAUCUGCAGUUAGAUCAGAUUGUUGUCUCUCUGAUAUAUUCCCCAUUUCCAGUCCAAAUUUUAUAAUCAUGACGAUACAGAAUGCAAAUAAAAAGUGUCUCAAAAUAAGCUACAGAAAGAGAACAAAAGAAAAUGUUGCAGCUAUUAUUUUUC